Molecule: long non-coding RNA, 6211 nt
Filed under: Canis lupus familiaris (dog)
Lineage: Eukaryota; Metazoa; Chordata; Mammalia; Carnivora; Canidae
Description: lncRNA (ENSCAFG00845028893.1)
Source: RNAcentral
GGUCAUUCUUUGGCUACAGUGCCUGUCAUCAAAGGCUCAGCUUGAGGAAAAUAGAACUCAGCCUGCCAAAGAUAAGGAGUGCACAGUGUGGACACUGGCCGCUCACCUCACUGUUUGGAGUCCAGGCUAAAGGGGCCCUCUCCUGAGCAGUACUGGCCACUGAAUGGAUAUGGACACAAUUUCCUUCUCAGCAGUGGGGCCCGCUCCAGUCCUGAUUUGGGCUGGAACUUGAUUUACUACUUUAGCUUUGUUUUGAAUUGGGAACCUUUUUAUUACUAAACUUCAUUCAAAUUAGACCUUUGUUCCAGCCUUUUAGUUGGUACUAUUAGUUACAAAAUUGAUAAAUGCUAAACCUUGUAUAAAUUGUAUAGGCCUCAGGAAGGCCAACUGGUCGAGGAACAUCUGCUUUAAGAAUUACAUUAAGCAUUGGUUGUCCUGCUUCCUUUCCAGGACCCUAACCUUAUUAGAGUAGCUGAAGCUGAAAUGUUAAUGCCGAUUAGUCCUGUCUCCAAAGUGGGCCCUGGCAUGGGGUGAAAAUUGGACAGUGACAAGCUGUCACAAACACUAAAAUGUCAACGAAAGCAUUUCUUACCCACGGCAGAUGUACGGAUAUAAUUUGCAAGGAGAUUAAGUUUUACAAAGUCAAUGAAUAGUGCUUUCUGUAACCUUUGGUGCUGAGAUACAGACCCGCUUUUCAAAUUUUCACAAGGGGCAGAAUUUAAGGAGGACUUUCACGGCUUAUUUCAAAGUGAAACUGGACCUGGGUCCUACGUCACUGCCCAAAGAGAUGGUGCUGGCUGUGUCACAGUAACCGCCCUGCGGGGGAAGAGCAGCGCUCAGACGGCUGCCGUGAGGUCGCUGCUGGGCUCUGGGCCGGAUGCCCGCGUGAAGGCCUUGAAAUGUCUCUAUCGCUCCUCAGUAGAAGUAAGUACAGGGCCAGGCCUCUCGGGCCGUCCCGCCUUGCAGCGUGGUCCAGCCUGCAGUGCGACGCCUUCCAUCAGCUACUUUGUCGUUUGCUUUUCCCUGGCUGAGUUCUUCCUCUUGUUAUUACUCAAAAUGCUCCAUUACUGCCUGUGUCGCCAGCACUCAGUACUUUGGAAGUUCUCUCCAUUCUUUUUUUUUUUUUUAAAACAUUUUUUAUUAUUAUUUAUUUAUGAUAGUCAUACAGAGAGAGAGAGAGAGAGAGAGGCAGAGACACAGGCAGAGGGAGAAGCAGGCUCCAUGCAGGCUCCAUGCAGGGACUUGAUCCCAGGUCUCCAGGAUCACACCCUGGGCCAAAGGCAGGCUCUCAACCACCCUGGCGUCCCUUACUUUGUUUUUAUUUUAUUUUUUUAAAGAUUUUAUUUAUUAAUUCACGAGAGACACACACACACAGAGGCAAAGACACACACAGGCAGAGGGAGAAGCAGGCUCCAUGCAGGAAGCCUGAUGCAGGACUCGAUCCCACGUCUCCAGGAUCAUGCCCUGGACUGAAGGCGGCACUAAACCGCUGAGCCACCAGGACUGCCCCUCUUACCUUGUUUUUAUAAAUAGUUCUGUAGUGGAACACUUUCCUGACAGGGAAGGGCAUGUCGCUGAUUUCAGUUUUGCUAAUCCAACAGCGAGCAUUUAAAUACAGAGAGGUAGGUCAUGGUGCUGUGAGGCCCCCCUGGGCAAACAUUUUCAGGGACUUUAUAAUCAUACGUGUCACUUCAUGGCCACCUAUUUUCUAUGUAGAAAGAAGUUCCUCACAUAAGAGCUUUUUUGACUGAUGAUGGUUUUCUUCCACUUUUGGGAAUUUCCUACCAAGUGGACUCUACUGUAACAACAGACAUUUCCCCCUCAGUUCCCAGUUUUAGUGCCCUAUAUGCUUUAUGACCUCACCUGCCAGCUUCUGGUGAUAAUUCCUAGCAGAUCAGGUGAGAGGUUGGCCCCGGAACUGGCUAUGGUCUUUCAGAGCAUGCCUUACAAGACAAAUGUGCCUGCCAUUCCAGAUUCUACCUCUAGCUAUUGCCUGGGAUUCCCAGAAAUUAGAGGACUCAGGGUGUCCUCACCCCUCCAGCAAACAGCCAGAGAGUCCUGAGUGCACAGGUUGCCAGGCUUCAUUUCAUCAUUUGGUUUUAUGCUUUUAAAUGUUGUUCUACGGAACUUAGAGGAGUCCACCCCAUGCCUUCUUUUUCACUCUUUUUAGACUAAUGAGGUGGCCCAUGCAAGUUAGACAAGCCAAAUUAAUCUCAACGAAUGCAACUCAUAACACCAUAAAAGCAAAUAGAUGACUUUAACUCAGCUAGCCAGAGCAUCUUCUUGGCAUGGGAGGUGCAUCAUUGUUCUUUGCUGUCAUUUGACCGGAGGAGUGAAAGUGACAGUUGUGACCUCCAUCCUCCUAAAGCCAAUUUUAUACGAGCAUCAGUUAUAUGUUAGGGUAAAAGCCCGUGUGUGUGUGUGUGUGUGUGUGUGUGUGUUUUAAUGAUUUUAUUUAUUUAUUUAUGAGAGACACACACACAGAGAGAGAGAGAGAGAGAGUCAGAGAUAUAGGCAAAGGGAGAAACAGGCUCCCUGCAGGAAGCCCGAUGUGGGAUCCCAUCCCAGGACCCCAGGAUCAUGACCUGAGCCAAAGGCAGACACUCAACCACUGAGCCACCCAGGUGUCCCAAGCCCAUUGUUUCUAAAGAAAAAGGAUAAGAUAACAAGUUCUGACUGUGCAUCAAAUCUGCUUUAUUUGAGAAGGAACUAACUAAAUACUGCAUCACAAAUCCUGACAAAGAGGCUUGGAUGACCGUAUAAAAGGGACCGUGUCAGAAUAAAUAAUAAUAAAUGGCUUUCUUGGGCAUCCAGCAUAAAUUUCCUCAUCUAAAAUGAUGUGUUUCAGUGAUGAAGCAAAGAUGGCAUAAGAGCGGAUGGGUGAUGGUCCAUUUUGUUCUGCUAUCUGCAGAAACACAGAAGUGAUGCCUCCCCUCAUGCAGGAGUACUGGGGCCUAUACGAAGGGCAUCCUGCCUCUCCUCAGGGAGUUUCACAAGCUGCUGAUAACAGCCAGGCCAGCCUCCUGCUAAGGUAUCUGUGAAGGAGAACCAAGGCAACAGUAUCCAUAGAGAAAAAUGGGUAUUCCGGAGAACAUGAGUCAAAGCUGAGGAAGUAAGCAAAGGAAAAAAAAACAAAAAACAAAAACUGGUAAAAACAAAGUAAACAGGAAAAGAUCUGUUCUAUUAAAACUCGAACCUUUUUCUACCUGUAAAAUUAGAACAGAGAGUAUCUCUUUCCAGCGUGCAUGUUCAAUUCCCUUGCCAGAAACUUAUUAGGGCACCUCUGCCAUGGGAAGUAGGUUGCGUUUUAAUGAUCCAAAGCACUUUGUGAGACACCGCUAAAGAAAGAAGCUCAAAAUGCUGUGGCCCAGGAACCCUUGAACUGCUGAUGGAUGGUGAAGCCCACCCAAGCCACAGGGCCCUGGAAGGGAGUUCAUCAGGUAUAGGUAAUUCUCACAGUGGUUUACAAAGACAGGUCUUACCUUCACCUAACAUAUGCCCAUCAACCCUAGCUGCAAAUCUGAACCAUGCAGAGGGCUUUGAGAACCCUAGUCCAACAUUCUAGGAAUCUCUGGGGCGCCACAACCCCAUACAUCUGUUACUUUUUUAAAGCUCCUCAGGUAAUACCAAUGCCCAGUCAAGGUUCAGAACCACUGGCCUAGAAUAACGUGAUGUAUAUAGACAAGCAAGUCAUUUGUGAUACCCAGGCCAGUUAUUUGGGAACCCCCCUUAAAGCCUUUCACAUGGGAGAAAUGUUUAUAAAAACGUAAUAAUAGUAAUAUUUUAUGUGUCUAGUACUUUGUAUUUGAACAUAAAAUUUGUGUUUUUAUGCUCUUAUGAAAGUACUGUCCUGGGAAAAUGCUUAAUAGCUUGUAAAACUAUUCAAAUGUUAGAUAUCAUCAAUCUCCUAUAACUGAGAAAAUAAGCAGAGUGAGAAAUCUAAGACUUGUGUAGGACCUCACUAAACAAGUGCCUGGCAAAUCUUGUACUAAAAUCAGGGCUCCUGAUUGCCCCUCAUCCCUCUACACAACUGAGAUUCAUGACUAUCUUUAAAGGGAACCUAAAAUGUUGAUACAUUUGGUUUCCUCUAUUAUGAACUGUGAUUCAGCCUCAUACACAAAUACAUAUUAAAUUGUUUCAGGUUGCUUUGGAAAAUGUGUUACUUUAGUGUCUCACCUCAAUGAUAAAAAAAUCACAGAUGAAACAAGCUGUCAAUCUCAGCAUGUCUGAAUGUUUCAGUUAGUUAUUGCUGUUGUCAAUAUCUGCUAGUUUUCUUUAUUUCACUUGCCCUGCACCUACAGCAAGUAUCAAGUUUCCAGAAAAAUUACUGACAGAAAAUCUAAAAAAAGGAAGACAAUUUUAUGUAUAGUUUCUUUUUCUGCAAACUGGGAUAGAUCAAAACUUCUUUUCAUGGCUGGAUGUUUCAGAACAACUCCAGAGAAGCUGACGUGGAGAUGGGUAAAGCUGUGCCAGCAUAUUCCUUAAGGGUUGACAUACUGGUCAGUGAUUCCUGCCCCUCAGGCCACAUCAGGGCUCCUCCUCCUCAUGACCUGAAGGUUAACAGUCAGAGCUAUGAGACACGUAUUGAACACCCAUUAAGUGUCAGAUGUUUUACACAUGGGGUCUCGUUCAGUCCUGAGCCACGCUGCCAGGUAUUUGUUAUCACCUCUACUUUAUACACAAGGAAAUUGAGACUCAGAGAUUAUGUAGCAUUUCCAAGUCCAAUAUCCAGUAAAUGACUGAACUGGGACAGGAAAUGAAGAUUACCCCUGGACUCCAACUCAUGCAUUCUAGGCAGAGCUGCACCUUCCAGGCACCUGAGUUUCCUAAGCAUUCUGGUGGAUACCACUGAGUUCACCCACUCUUCCACUGUGAGGAGAUAGGAGCCCUGUGCCUCCUUGAUGCAUCUGUAGAUAUGUUUAGAUAAAUUUUCUGAGGGGUAGUUUCUCCCACAUAGGGUAGAAGUCAGUGCAAGAGGAAGAAUGGGGCAUGAGUGUGGGGUCUCUUGACACCAGACCAUGAAACUUUGGUGGAGGCCCCUCCUAUUCACAAUGGAGUGAAAUUGCUCUUCCAGCAAAGUUAUCUUCUCCAUUCUCAAAGGGAAAGAGGGACGAGGGGUUGGGGGCAUGAGAGCUCUGCCCUUUUACUCCCAGCACCGGUCAAGACAACCAUAUUACCCUCUCAGUCAGCUCCAAAAUGAUUAUUUUUAACUGAGCAAGGGUCUUAAGCCUAACAGAUACUGAUUAGAACUAUAAAUAACUUCAGACAGUAAAGAAGUAUGAAAUCUUAAAAAAAAAAAAAAUUGUUGAGUUUCCAGAAUGUCUAAGAGGUCACACCAACUAAAACUGCUGAACCAACUUUAAAAAAAAUAAGCAAAUAAGCAUUGAUUAAAAUUUUAAUUGAAAAGGGACCUCUUACAGCUUUUUAUGGACCCUAUCCCAACUUUUUCUCCAUCUCAUGGGUGGUAAGGUGAAUUGGACUCCUUUUCAUGGGUGGAAGGUUUGGAAGGAUGUCUGUGGAAGUCAUUUCUCCUACUUAUUUGGUAAGUUGAGCUGACCUAAUUUAUCCAACAUAGAAGGUCAAGAAUCUGGCAGAUUUUUAAGAAUGUUCUAGUGAUCAUUUUCUUUCACCAUCAAAUGGGAAAACAUCUGAACUUUCUGGAUCUUGGUGCUCCCCACAGCAUGGAAAUUCCACUGUUUUGUCUUUGCUGGUCUCUGUGUGGAAUUGUCUUUGUUACUUCCUGGCCUCUUGGUUUGUUGAGUCUAUAUUGAAUCAGACUUAGUUUCCUGUUUUGACUUAAAUGUUAAAGAGACAUUCAGAGAACUGAAUGAGUAAAUAUUGGAAAAGAUCAUUAUGGAUGGAUCAUUCAGUUUGAUUUUAUGAGUACACCAAAGAAAAUGAAUAUUAAGAGUUUUUAAACUUAAAAAUAAAGUGCUUAUUUUGCAUUAUAGCAGUAAUAUUUGUUUAUUGUGCAGACUUAGAAAAUGAGAAAAGCACUUCAUGAUCCCAUCUUGCAGAGUUACUGAGACUAUUGACAUCUUCUAGAAUUUCCCUGCCUGCAUAUGUGUAUGUUUGUGUAAUAGGAUUAUACACUGCAUGCUAUUUCAUAGUGGUUUUUUUCAGUUGAUAAUAUAUCUUUUCAUGUCAUCAAGGUUUAGGAGGUUUGGGGUUUUUGUUUGUUUUGCAACUGGAAGCACUGUGACGAUGGACA